Molecule: ribosomal RNA, 253 nt
Filed under: uncultured bacterium
Lineage: Bacteria
Description: partial 16S ribosomal RNA
Rfam family: Bacterial small subunit ribosomal RNA
Source: RNAcentral
UACGGAGGGUGCGAGCGUUGUUCGGAAUCAUUGGGCGUAAAGCGCGUGUAGGCGGCUUGGUAAGUCGGGUGUGAAAGCCCGGGGCCCAACCCCGGAACUGCAUUCGAAACUGCCUCGCUAGAGUCCCGGAGAGGAAGGCGGAAUUCCCGGUGUAGAGGUGAAAUUCGUAGAUAUCGGGAGGAACACCAGCGGCGAAGGCGGCCUUCUGGACGGUGACUGACGCUCAGACGCGAAAGCGUGGGGAGCAAACAGG